Molecule: ribosomal RNA, 371 nt
Filed under: Glomeromycotina sp.
Lineage: Eukaryota; Fungi; Glomeromycota
Description: LSU rRNA
Source: RNAcentral
UUGAAAGGGAAACGAUUGAAGUCAGUCGUACCGACGAGAAAUCAACUUAUCGCGUGCGAACUUGUGGGCGCGCGUGAGUUUCGGCCUCGCUGUUUACAUGUUUGUUCGCUUUGGGUGUACUUUUUCGUAUGGUUGGCCAACGUCAGUUUCGAUUAUCAUAAAAUGACCGGCGGAAUGUAGCUUCGACUUCGGUUGAAGUGUUAUAGCCUCUGGUAGAUGUGGUGAUUGGGACUGGGGAUUGCAACGAAUACCUUUUAGGCUAUCCGUCUGGCCUCCGAAAGUUGCUCAGGUGCCGAAAGCGUGCUUACGGUCAUCUAAGAUAACGUUCAACAGGUUAGAACGUGAUUACAUUCGUUAAGGAUGUUGACGUA